AGCGGGGGAUAACUAUUGGAAACGAUAGCUAAUACCGCAUAAGAGUAAUUAACACAUGUUAGUUAUUUAAAAGGAGCAAUUGCUUCACUGUGAGAUGGACCUGCGUUGUAUUAGCUAGUUGGUGAGGUAAAGGCUCACCAAGGCGACGAUACAUAGCCGACCUGAGAGGGUGAUCGGCCACACUGGGACUGAGACACGGCCCAGACUCCUACGGGAGGCAGCAGUAGGGAAUCUUCGGCAAUGGACGGAAGUCUGACCGAGCAACGCCGCGUGAGUGAAGAAGGUUUUCGGAUCGUAAAGCUCUGUUGUUAGAGAAGAACGUUGGUAGGAGUGGAAAAUCUACCAAGUGACGGUAACUAACCAGAAAGGGACGGCUAACUACGUGCCAGCAGCCGCGGUAAUACGUAGGUCCCGAGCGUUGUCCGGAUUUAUUGGGCGUAAAGCGAGCGCAGGCGGUUCUUUAAGUCUGAAGUUAAAGGCAGUGGCUUAACCAUUGUACGCUUUGGAAACUGGAGGACUUGAGUGCAGAAGGGGAGAGUGGAAUUCCAUGUGUAGCGGUGAAAUGCGUA
Molecule: ribosomal RNA, 569 nt
Filed under: Streptococcus agalactiae
Lineage: Bacteria; Bacillati; Bacillota; Bacilli; Lactobacillales; Streptococcaceae
Description: bacterial SSU rRNA
Rfam family: Bacterial small subunit ribosomal RNA
Source: RNAcentral